This 492-nucleotide ribosomal RNA is filed under the name uncultured bacterium. RNAcentral describes it as "partial 16S ribosomal RNA". It matches the Rfam family "Bacterial small subunit ribosomal RNA", at positions 29 to 507 of the family's 1533-position model. The record is from RNAcentral.
AGUGAACGCUGGCGGUAGGCCUAACACAUGCAAGUCGAACGGCAGCACAGUAAGAGCUUGCUCUUACGGGUGGCGAGUGGCGGACGGGUGAGGAAUACAUCGGAAUCUACUUUUUCGUGGGGGAUAACGUAGGGAAACUUACGCUAAUACCGCAUACGACCUACGGGUGAAAGCAGGGGAUCUUCGGACCUUGCGCGAUUGAAUGAGCCGAUGUCGGAUUAGCUAGUUGGCGGGGUAAAGGCCCACCAAGGCGACGAUCCGUAGCUGGUCUGAGAGGAUGAUCAGCCACACUGGAACUGAGACACGGUCCAGACUCCUACGGGAGGCAGCAGUGGGGAAUAUUGGACAAUGGGCGCAAGCCUGAUCCAGCCAUACCGCGUGGGUGAAGAAGGCCUUCGGGUUGUAAAGCCCUUUUGUUGGGAAAGAAAAGCAGCAGGUUAAUACCCCGCUGUUCUGACGGUACCCAAAUAAUAAGCUCCGGCUAACUUCGUG